This 253-nucleotide ribosomal RNA is filed under the name uncultured bacterium. Its description in RNAcentral is "partial 16S ribosomal RNA". It matches the Rfam family "Bacterial small subunit ribosomal RNA", at positions 524 to 776 of the family's 1533-position model. The record is from RNAcentral.
UACGGGGGGGGCAAGCGUUGUUCGGAAUUACUGGGCGUAAAGGGCUCGUAGGCGGCCAACUAAGUCGGACGUGAAAUCCCUCGGCUCAACCGGGGAACUGCGUCCGAUACUGGCGAGCUUGAAUCCGGGAGAGGGAUGUGGAAUUCCAGGUGUAGCGGUGAAAUGCGUAGAUAUCUGGAGGAACACCGGUGGCGAAGGCGGCAUCCUGGACCGGUUCUGACGCUCAGGCGCGAAAGCGUGGGGAGCGAUCCGG